Sander lucioperca (pikeperch) is the source of this 279-nucleotide long non-coding RNA. RefSeq lists it as uncharacterized. NCBI's taxonomy places the organism in Eukaryota, Metazoa, Chordata, Actinopteri, Perciformes, Percidae. The record is from RefSeq and is a predicted model, not a curated record. The transcript is spliced from 3 exons.
UCCUGGCUGGGAUAGCCUUUGUCAGCUCCCUCCUUACUGAUGUGUUAUAGCUGGACUGCGGAGCUUGCAUGUGAUGGAGGCAAAAUUUGUCUUACUACUACUCCCCUUCUCUCAAAGUUCCUUACACAACUUGACCAACGCACUGAGCAGUUCAUGAAAGUGUUGAAGAACAAAGGAGGCUCUGCAGGGAGGAAAAUCAGGAUCAUUAUGGCCCCAAUGACACAGGGAGCUUGAGAAGUCACCUUUGGUAUCUACAGCAUCAAUGUUAAGGGAGGUGAU